RNAcentral lists this ribosomal RNA (444 nucleotides) under uncultured bacterium. RNAcentral describes it as "partial 16S ribosomal RNA". It matches the Rfam family "Bacterial small subunit ribosomal RNA", at positions 29 to 507 of the family's 1533-position model. The record is from RNAcentral.
AAUCAACGCUGGCGGCGCGCUUAACACAUGCAAGUCGCACGAGAAAGGGAGCAAUCCUGAGUAAAGUGGCGUACGGGUGAGUAACACGUGGGAAUCUACCUCUUGGCGGGGAAUAACCCUGGGAAACCGGGGCUAAUACCGCAUAAGCUCGUGAGAGGAAAGCAGCAAUGCACCGAGAGAGGAGCCCGCGGCCAAUUAGCUAGUUGGUGGGGUAAUGGCUCACCAAGGCGAAGAUCGGUAGCCGGCCUGAGAGGGCACACGGCCACACUGGCACUGAAACACGGGCCAGACUCCUACGGGAGGCAGCAGUGGGGAAUCUUGCACAAUGGGGGAAACCCUGAUGCAGCGACGCCGCGUGAGCGAUGAAGCCCUUCGGGGUGUAAAGCUCUUUCGACAGGAACGAUAAUGACGGUACCUGGAGAAGAAGCUGCGGCUAACUACGUG